AGGAUGAACGCUAGCGACAGGCCUAACACAUGCAAGUCAGGGGCAGCACAAGGAGCAAUCUGAGGUGGCGACCGGCGCACGGGUGAGUAACACGUAUGCAACCUGCCUGUAAGCGGGGAAUAACCCGUUGAAAGACGGACUAAUACCGCAUAAUACUAAAUUACUGCAUGGAAUUUAUUUAAACAUUUAUGGCUUACAGAUGGGCAUGCGCAUGAUUAGCUAGUUGGAGAGGUAACGGCUCCCCAAGGCAACGAUCAUUAGGGGCUCUGAGAGGAAGGUCCCCCCACACUGGUACUGAGACACGGACCAGACUCCUACGGGAGGCAGCAGUGAGGAAUAUUGGUCAAUGGACGAGAGUCUGAACCAGCCAAGUCGCGUGCAGGAAGAAUUGUCCUAUGGAUUGUAAACUGCUUUUGCAGGGGAAUAAAGUGCAUCACGUGUGAUGUUUUGUAUGUACUCUGCGAAUAAGGAUCGGCUAACUCCGUGCCAGCCGCCGC
This 497-nucleotide ribosomal RNA is filed under the name uncultured bacterium. RNAcentral's name for it is "bacterial SSU rRNA". It matches the Rfam family "Bacterial small subunit ribosomal RNA", at positions 26 to 518 of the family's 1533-position model. The record is from RNAcentral.